GAUUUUAGCUAUAAAGUGAGUGGCGAACGGGUGAGUAACACGUGGGUAACCUGCCCAGAAGUGGGGGAUAACACCUGGAAACAGAUGCUAAUACCGCAUAACAAAGUAAACCGCAUGGUUUACUUUUAAAAGAUGGCUUCGGCUAUCACUUCUGGAUGGACCCGCGGCGUAUUAGCUAGUUGGUGAGAUAAAGGCUCACCAAGGCAGUGAUACGUAGCCGCCUGAAGGGUAAUCGGCCACAUUGGGACUGAGACACGGCCCAGACUCCUACGGAGGCAG
RNAcentral lists this ribosomal RNA (279 nucleotides) under Pediococcus acidilactici. Its description in RNAcentral is "partial 16S ribosomal RNA". It matches the Rfam family "Bacterial small subunit ribosomal RNA", at positions 69 to 351 of the family's 1533-position model. Lineage: Bacteria; Bacillati; Bacillota; Bacilli; Lactobacillales; Lactobacillaceae. The record is from RNAcentral.